RNAcentral lists this transfer RNA (67 nucleotides) under Triticum aestivum (bread wheat). It matches the Rfam family "tRNA". From Rfam's summary of the family: Transfer RNA (tRNA) molecules are approximately 80 nucleotides in length. Their secondary structure includes four short double-helical elements and three loops (D, anti-codon, and T loops). Lineage: Eukaryota; Viridiplantae; Streptophyta; Magnoliopsida; Poales; Poaceae. RNAcentral also lists the same sequence under 1 other name. The record is from Rfam by way of RNAcentral.
CCAUUGCUCAGUUGGUAGAGCACAAGGCUCUUAACCUUGUGGAUGUGGAUUCAAGCCCCAUGAUGGG